AUCUACAGCCAUACCACCCUGAACGCGCCUGAUCUUGUCUGAUCUCGGAAGCUAAGCAGGGUUGGGCCUGGUUAGUACAUGGAUGGGAGAGCUACAUUAGAAAGAAAGUUAUACUGAAGUAU
Molecule: ribosomal RNA, 122 nt
Filed under: Chinchilla lanigera (long-tailed chinchilla)
Lineage: Eukaryota; Metazoa; Chordata; Mammalia; Rodentia; Chinchillidae
Source: RNAcentral